This 748-nucleotide ribosomal RNA is filed under the name uncultured bacterium. RNAcentral's name for it is "bacterial SSU rRNA". It matches the Rfam family "Bacterial small subunit ribosomal RNA", at positions 37 to 743 of the family's 1533-position model. The record is from RNAcentral.
UGGCGGCGUGGAUUAGGCAUGCAAGUCGAACGCGAAAGGUUGCUUCGGUAACCGAGUAGAGUGGCGAACGGGUGAGUAACGCGUAGGUAAUCUAUCUUCAAGCGGGGGACAGCCCCGGGAAACCGGGAUUAAUACCGCAUGUGCCCUUCACCUAUUUGUCUGUUAUUAUUGAUCGAGAGGUUGGUAUGAAUCAUGACAAAUAGGUGAAGGGUAAAAGUGGCCUCUGACAUAAGCUACUGCUUGAAGCUGAGCCUGCGUCCUAUUAGUUAGUUGGUAAGGUAACUGCUUACCAAGGCGAUGAUAGGUAGGCGGCCUUAACGGGUGGUCGCCCACACUGGGAUUGAGAUACGGCCCAGACUCCUACGGGAGGCAGCAGUGGGGAAUCUUGCACAAUGGGCGAAAGCCUGAUGCAGCAACGCCGCGUGCGGGAAGAAGGCCCUAGGGUUGUAAACCGCUUUCAGUAGGGAAGAAAAUGACGGUACCUACAGAAGAAGGUGCGGCCAACUACGUGCCAGCAGCCGCGGUGACACGUAGGCACCAAGCGUUAUCCGGAUUUAUUGGGCGUAAAGAGCUCGUAGGCGGUUUGGUAAGUCGGGUGUGAAAACUCUGGGCUCAACCCAGAGAGGCCACCCGAUACUGCUAUGACUAGAGUACGGUAGGGGAGCGGGGAAUUCAUGGUGUAGCGGUGAAAUGCGCAGAUAUCAUGAGGAACACCAGCGGCGAAGGCGGCUUUCUGGGCUGUUGCUGA